Molecule: transfer RNA, 87 nt
Filed under: Cordylochernes scorpioides
Lineage: Eukaryota; Metazoa; Arthropoda; Arachnida; Pseudoscorpiones; Chernetidae
Description: tRNA-Tyr
Rfam family: tRNA
About the family: Transfer RNA (tRNA) molecules are approximately 80 nucleotides in length. Their secondary structure includes four short double-helical elements and three loops (D, anti-codon, and T loops).
Source: RNAcentral
CCCUCGAUAGCUCAGUUGGCAGAGCGGAGGACUGUAGGUUUUUCAACGGUGAUCCUUAGGUCGCUGGUUCAAAUCCGGCUCGAGGGA